GAGUGAGAGCAAUGGAGACAUGGUGAAAGAGAAAUCCAUAAGGGCUUGUUCACAUUUUUAAGGCUCUGAAUUUUUUCUCUCUUUUGCUCCAAGCUUCCUCUUCCGUUAAGGCGGGUGAAUUAUGAAUGCCAGCUUAUCUUUCUUUUUAACUUCUCUUUUCCCUCCUCUGAUCUUUUUCCAUUCUGCAAAAUACAAGACAAGAGUAGAUUGGGUUCAAAAGUGUUAUACAGUGCCCCCUUGUGAUGCACAAAACUGCACAUUCAGUUGUACAUUAUUUAGUUUUUUUUGGAGAUCACGUUGUCACAGUGGCGGAAGCAAUUGAAUGAAAUGAACUGAAACAAGUCAUCUGCAUAUAACUUUGUUAAAUAGCAUUUUACUCAGCUGUUAGCUGACUGAUGUUUUGAUCUAUGACAGUAAAAUAGUCUGAUAGCUGUUUUUAUUAACUUUACUUUAAACAACACUAACAAAACCCCAUAGAAUUAUGUCUAGAACUGCAUUCUCACCCGCCACACUGGGUUGUGGAUACUCUAGAUUUGUUGCUACGACAAUAAUAUGGUGAACUUUUUAAGAGGGCUGACGGGACUAUUUUUUUUUACACUAUGGUCCCCAUCUUUAAGUCCUCAGUCAGAGUUUUCUACUAUAGUAGGUCUCUAUCUGGUAUAGCCAGAUGACACUUGGGCAUCUCUUGGCCUUCUUCAGUCUCUGCGAUCCUCAACACCUGCAUCCUGGAUCAUACCCGGAGAAACACACCGCAUAGCCAUAAUGCCAUAGCUGACAUUCCCUCACAAGGGAAGUAGUAACUGCCUGUUUGAAACAGUCAUUCCAGUGGUAUCCAAUAUCCUUCAAAUAGAUCUAGGACCAAGGGCAUCCAUCCAGUUAUCAGCUUAGGUCACACAUAUUGGAAUCCAGGCCUCGCAGAUGUAGAGUAAGACAGGAAGCACUUGAACCCAAAAGACCUUGACCUUUGUGCUGUAACAUUUAUGUCUCUGGAUCCUCGGUCUGAAAAGACCUUUCUUGGCGUCCAUCUUCCAAAUGCUUCUAUCACAUACCGAGGAUAUUGUGAACUAAAAACAAAGGAGCCCAUUAGUUAUCUGGGUGUCGCCAAGGCUCACUUCCAGGACGUCACUCCUUCAUAUUGAGGCUCAAAUCUUUUCACCUGAACUCCCAUAUGGGAUGCCCAGUGUGGGUGUUUCAUAAGAGGCCAGAUAUGGAAGAAUGGCGUGAGGUCGAAAAACACUUCAUUGGGAAUGUUGCCCCAUGACACUUUGUGUAUAGAUGUGAAGGACGGGUUUGUUGGCCUUUGUAACCAAGCCGUCAGAUGGCUUGAGUGUUCGAACACUCUACAUGCUGGCCUAUUUCGAUAUUUUUUAAAUUAAUUUAAUCAGUAUGUUUGAACAGACAACUUGCGAUACUGUGAAACUUGAGUAUUUGUUUUAAGCUGUGCUUUUGGCUGCUAUGUGUAAUUUAUUUUAUUUUAAGAGAGAUUUAUGUGUUUCAACCUGUAGUGCAGGAAUAAUGAAAGGAACCCUAAUCUAGAUUGAUUUUUACCUCUCAGAUUUCAUCAUGUUAAAUGGGUACGUGAUUGAUAAUGUCCAGUUUUCAACACAGAGUGAAUCUGUACUGUUAUUUUAAUAUUUAUUUUCCCAGUGAAAACACAUUUUCAACUGUUUUCACAUUAUUUAGACUCUCAGAAACAACCACAACCUUAGCAUACACUGUUUCAUUCAUUUAUUCAUUCAUUUUCUAUACCCACUCAUUCUAAUUAAACAAAAAAGUACGUAUAAUAUUUUAGUUCUCAGUCCAAUGCCAUUAUGAAGAUGUGUCCUAUUAAAAGGCAUGCAAUUAUGGCAUAAUUUGAUCACAUUUGGGGGGUUUCUCUAAUGCCACCUAUGGUAACCCGUGAAGGUCUGACAUGUAAAUAUCAUAUACAUAUUUGCCUCCAGUAUGAAGCAAAUGUUUUUGGCCGUGUUGAACCAAUUUUCUUGAAACGUAGUACAGAUGUGGUGCAUUGGCCAAGGAAGAACCACUUAAAUUUUGUUCCCAAUCCAAAUAAAACGGCAGAUACAGUAACUGUUUGUGUUUUUUGAGUAGGACAUCUAAAAAUGAAAACAUAAAAUAAUAUAGUGGUGAGGAAGCAUUGAUUAGAUUUUCAGGUGGCUCUAGGUACUAAAAAAAAGUAGGUAUUAAAAAAAAGUUUCAAUGUUUACACAAAUUCAAUGUUUGCUGUAAUAGCGCCCUCACCAGCACUUCUAGCACAAUUACAGGCAGGACUGUUGGGGCCUUGUUUUUAGUUUGUUAUGGAACUUCGUCAUUACAUAUACAUGUCAAGGUUUAGCAGCUGUCUCAGGUUGGUCUUCUGUUUGUCUGCAACGAUAAAUUUAAAUUUGUAACUCCAAAAAUGUGACUAAGGAAGGAAGGUAAUUAUUUUUUAAAGAGAAGUCAGUGUUUUCCUUUAAUAUCUGCAGGAAUUUCAACUGAAAUAUCUAUGGUUUAUGAUGCUUAUGGUUCACAUGGUACGCAUGAUUAUCACCGUAUUUAAACAUGCUGAAAUUUCUGAAUGGAAAUGCAUAAUGUUUUUGUUCCAUCAGUCGGACUUUGUUGAGCAGAGGGCUGACAACCCGCUGAAUGACGCAGUCUGUGAAGUGACACUGGAACAACAGGCGUACGUCAACAGAUAAAUUUUUUUUGUUUUAUGUGAACAUAAUUGGGAAAAUAAAUGAUGAUGACAAAUUGUUUAUAAUAGAUACUGUGUUUAUCACUUGUACAAACAGCAAAACUGAGCCUAAGUGAGGCUAAUCGUUCUGUUGAAGGUCCGUCUACAGGUGCGGAAUAAUUGUGAUAAAUUCUGACUUGUUUUAUUUGGCAGUUUUAAACUUGUAACAUAAUUUUAUCAUUUUAAAUGAUCAGAUCUCUGAGAUCGGCCCUUUUCUGUGCCUGUUGCUUUAAAUGGAAAGGUGCUGCUGGCUGACACACCCCCUUUCUCAUUGG
This is a long non-coding RNA of Thalassophryne amazonica, 2988 nucleotides long. RefSeq lists it as uncharacterized. The record is from RefSeq and is a predicted model, not a curated record. The transcript has 2 exons. Lineage: Eukaryota; Metazoa; Chordata; Actinopteri; Batrachoidiformes; Batrachoididae.